UGUAAAAAAAAAUGAUGUCUUUGUAUAAAAUCCCAAAACCACGCAAUAUUAGGUGAGCCUUGGUUGAACUUUAUGCAUGGAACUUUUGUUCCUGCAUCAAAAGAGAAAGCAAGUAGCCCUUGAUCGAACUUUAUGCAUGGAACUUUGGUUUCAACAUCAAAAGAGAAAGCAUCUUAUUGAUAAAACCGCCGAUGAAAACGUUUCAUUGCUCCUUUUCCCAUUAGUAAUUAUCAUGUUUUGGGCAUAUGUGUGUGUAUCACUUUGAGAGGGGAGAAAGGCAGACCCAAAUAUGUUUUCUAUGUGCAGUACAAGAACCAAGUACGUAUCUUAUUACUAUUAUAAUGUUAAUAUUGUUGCUAUUGGAUUGAUUUUUGAAAAAGAUGUGAAUAUUUCUUUCUAGUAAACCAGUGAACCAGAUUCACCCUCAUUUCUGCAUUCCACCCUUUGUCUGAUAUUAACCAGCCCAACACCAAAUCAUUAAUUUCCAGCUUUCUGAAACCUCCUUACUAAAGGUAACGUAUGAGAGAGAGAGAGAGAGAGAUGUGAUCCGAAACUAAUCAGUAAACUUACCCAUUUUAGCCUUUUGGGAGAUCAGUAGAGUUUCAUGCAUUGGCAGAGGGCUAAGUAAGGGUGGGGUUAUGAUAUAAGGAAUAUUUCAUAUUCACUGUACAAUGAGUAAAGAACAGAAAGGAAGAAGACCCCAAUAGCUUUUGUAUUAACUCACUCCAUUAAGUUUUUAACAGAAGAAGGUGCAGUCUCAGAAGCUCGGCAGGUUCUGAAUCCUCCUACCCCCUUACAUUUACAAGGCCUCCUUACACUACUAUGAUUAAACAAAAAUUAAGAGAGAAGAAGAAAAAUAUACUCUUUGGUAUUUGUCCUAGAAAACCAGUGGUCUUUACAACCAUGAGGACACCUCUUUGCCCAUGCAUUAAUGGCGAUUUAAGGCACACACAGUAAGACAUCAUUUUCUUUUACAUUCAAAAAAGAAAAGAAAAGGGAGGGAGAUGCAGAGAGAGACCCGAAGCUUUUACUGGGUUUUCCUCAACUUCCAUGGAAUCAUCUUCAAUUCUGCAAACCUUGAAAAUGGGUGUUGGCAACUUUCUCUUUCUAAACUCAUUUGUUGUGGAGAGGAUUUGGACCAGUGUGAAUCUUCCUUUUGUCUUGUUCAAAGAGCUUUUCACUAUCACUUGGAGCGUUUUUGUUGCCUCUUUGGAUUGGUAGUGGAGCCAAACCAGACAACAUUUCUUUUCUUGCACUUUUGAACACUGAAGAAGAAGAACAGGAGGAUGAAGAAGAAGAUGCAGCAGCCAAUUUUGUUUCUUGCAGACAAACCACCAAUAAAACCCAACACCAAGUAACAAUGCCUUUCCAGCUAAAGCCAUGGUGCUUUUUCCUCUUGAGCACAAUCAUUGUUGAACCCAAAAGAUGAGAAAGAAGAGCUUUACAGUUGUAGCAGAGAGAGAGAGAGAGAGAGUUCUUUCAAGGUAAGAGGUGGAGAAGAAAAUGGGGGUGGGGGGAUUUGUUGUUAAUAAAAAUGUUUGUCGGGUGGCCCUUACUUCGAAGUGGGGAGAAAGGUGGAGGUGAGAAAGAUUAGAAGGUUCUGAUCAGAAGAGGGAGGCGUGAAUCCCCACCUUGUUUGGAGUGGACUAAGCCUGCUUCACAUGCAAAACCGAAACACCAGCCGUAGUUCUUGGACUGUGAGAGAUUUUAGAGAGAGAACAGUGGGAAAGAGACCUGUUUUAGUUUCCUCAUCUUAUUGUAAGAGAGAGAGAGAGAGAGAGAAAUGCCCUUUGUAAACCUCCACACUUAUUGAUAGCCAUUUGUGUGUGUU
Amborella trichopoda is the source of this 1831-nucleotide non-coding RNA. The record is from RefSeq and is a predicted model, not a curated record. Lineage: Eukaryota; Viridiplantae; Streptophyta; Magnoliopsida; Amborellales; Amborellaceae.